AACGAACGCUGGCGGCAUGCCUAACACAUGCAAGUCGAACGAGACCUUCGGGUCUAGUGGCGCACGGGUGCGUAACGCGUGGGAACCUGCCCUUAGGUUCGGCAUAACUCCCCGAAAGGGGUGCUAAUACCGGAUAAUGUCUUCGACCCAAAGAUUUAUCGCCUUUGGAUGGGCCCGCGUUGGAUUAGCUAGUUGGUAGGGUAAAAGCCUACCAAGGCGACGAUCCAUAGCUGGGCUGAGAGGAUGAUCAGCCACACUGGGACUGAGACACGGCCCAGACUCCUACGGGAGGCAGCAGUGGGGAAUAGUGGACAAUGGGCUAAAGCCUGAUCCAGCAAUGCCGCGUGAGUGAUGAAGGCCUUAGGGUUGUAAAGCUCUUUUACCCGGGAUGAUAAUGACAGUACCGGGAGAAUAAGCUCCGGCUAACUCCGUG
Molecule: ribosomal RNA, 433 nt
Filed under: uncultured bacterium
Lineage: Bacteria
Description: partial 16S ribosomal RNA
Rfam family: Bacterial small subunit ribosomal RNA
Source: RNAcentral